This is a non-coding RNA of Potamilus streckersoni, 67 nucleotides long. NCBI's taxonomy places the organism in Eukaryota, Metazoa, Mollusca, Bivalvia, Unionida, Unionidae. The record is from the annotation of a GenBank genome assembly.
GUGGCCUAGUGGUUAGAGCAUCCGCUUUAGAUGCGGGAAGUCGUACUGGGUUCGAUCCCCAGCCGCG